UAAUCCGGCCCCGCGUCAGGUUCCCCGCAAGGGGAUCAAAAGGGAACCCGGGUGAAACCCCCGGGGCUGCCCCUGCAACUGUAAGCGGCGAGCCAUCCGGCCACUACGCCAUUGGGACCGAAAAGUCCUGAGAAGGCGGCCGGAACGGCGCCGACCCGCGAGCCAGGAGACCUGCCUGUCGCCGUCGUUCUUC
RNAcentral lists this non-coding RNA (193 nucleotides) under Novosphingobium sp. The record is from RNAcentral. Lineage: Bacteria; Pseudomonadati; Pseudomonadota; Alphaproteobacteria; Sphingomonadales; Sphingomonadaceae.